This 497-nucleotide ribosomal RNA is filed under the name uncultured bacterium. RNAcentral's name for it is "partial 16S ribosomal RNA". It matches the Rfam family "Bacterial small subunit ribosomal RNA", at positions 28 to 507 of the family's 1533-position model. The record is from RNAcentral.
GAUGAACGCUGGCGGCGUGCCUAAUACAUGCAAGUCGAGCGAACGGACGAGAAGCUUGCUUCUCUGAUGUUAGCGGCGGACGUGUGAGUAACACGUGGAUAACCUACCUAUAAGACUGGUAUAACUUCGGGAAACCGUAGCUAAUACCGGAUAAUAUUUUGAACCGCAUGGUUCAAAAGUGAAAGACGGUCUUGCUGUCACUUAUAGAUGGAUCCGCGCUGCAUUAGCUAGUUGGUAAGGUAACGGCUUACCAAGGCAACGAUGCAUAGCCGACCUGAGAGGGGGAUAGGCAACACUGGAACUGAGACACGGUCAAGAAGCCUACGGGAGGCAGCAGUAGGGAAUAUUCCGCAAUGGGCGAAAGCCUGACGGAGCAACGCCGCGUGAGUGAUGAAGGUCUUCGGAUCGUAAAACUCUGUUAUUAGGGAAGAAAAUAUGUGUAAGUAACUGUGCACAUAUUGACGGUACCUAAUCAGAAAGCCACGGCUAACUACGUG